GAAGGUGCAUCUAGAAAGACAGAUUAGAGCUUGAUAAGUAAAGCAUUUCAUUUACAUUGAAAAGUAUAUUGUGUAAUUCAAUUUAAUUUGAUAGUAAAAAUUUAUUAAUUUUUUUUUGUUUAAAUAUUUAUUUAAUAAAAUUAAUUUUAAAUUAAUUUUUUUUUUGUAUAGUGUAUAGAUUAAAUAAUUUAUAUAAUAGUUAAUUAGUAUUGUGAAAGAAUAUUGAAAUAUAUGAAAAAGUUUUAAAUUAAAAGUAAAUUUUAUAUAUUGUACCUUGUGUAUCAGGGUUUAUUAAUUAGAAAUUAAAAAUUUAAUUUUUCUCGAAUUUAAGAGAGUUAAUUUAUUAUUUGAUUUUUUGUUUCAUAAAAAUUUAAAAUAAUAAGUUGGAAAUGAAAUGUUAUUCGUUCUUAAAUAUAUCUAGUUUUUUAAGAAAUAAAUUAAAUUUAGAUUAUUAAUAAAUAAUUAUUUAUUUAAAUAAUAAAUUAUUAUUAAUAAUUAAUAUUUUAAGGGAUAAGCUUUAAAAUAAGUUUUAUAAUAAUUUUUUAAUUUGAAAGUUAUAGGUUUAGAAAUAGUCAUUAAUUAUAAAAAUGUUAUAAUUUAUUUUAAAUUAAAAAUAAUUUUUAUUAAUUUAAGUUUUUAUUAAAAUAAUUUUUAAAAUUAUAUAAAAAUUGAAAUAAUGAUAAAAUUAGUAUAUUAAAUUGUUUAAAAUAAAUAAAUUAAAAGGUUAAAUUAAGGAACUUGGCAAAUAAGUACUCGCCUGUUUAACAAAAACAUGUCUUUUUGAAUAUAAUUUAAAGUCUAAUCUGCCCACUGAAAAAUUUUAAAGGGCCGCGGUAUU
This 838-nucleotide ribosomal RNA is filed under the name Panorpodes paradoxus. RNAcentral describes it as "partial 16S rRNA". The record is from RNAcentral. Lineage: Eukaryota; Metazoa; Arthropoda; Insecta; Mecoptera; Panorpodidae.